This 506-nucleotide ribosomal RNA is filed under the name uncultured bacterium. Its description in RNAcentral is "bacterial SSU rRNA". It matches the Rfam family "Bacterial small subunit ribosomal RNA", at positions 20 to 507 of the family's 1533-position model. The record is from RNAcentral.
UGGCUCAGAGUGAACGCUGGCGGCAGGCCUAACACAUGCAAGUCGAGCGGCAGCGCGUCCGACCACCCUCGGGUGGUCGGAUGGCGGCGAGCGGCGGACGGGUGAGGAAUGCAUCGGAAUCUGCCUCGUUGUGGGGGAUAACGUAGGGAAACUUACGCUAAUACCGCAUACGACCUACGGGUGAAAGUGGGGGACCUUCGGGCCUCACGCGAUGAGAUGAGCCGAUGCCGGAUUAGCUAGUUGGCGGGGUAAAGGCCCACCAAGGCGACGAUCCGUAGCUGGUCUGAGAGGAUGAUCAGCCACACUGGAACUGAGACACGGUCCAGACUCCUACGGGAGGCAGCAGUGGGGAAUAUUGGACAAUGGGGGCAACCCUGAUCCAGCCAUGCCGCGUGUGUGAAGAAGGCCUUCGGGUUGUAAAGCACUUUUGUUGGGGAAGAAACCGGCCGGGUUAAUACCCUGGUUGAAUGACGGUACCCAAAGAAUAAGCACCGGCUAACUUCGUG